This 439-nucleotide ribosomal RNA is filed under the name uncultured bacterium. RNAcentral describes it as "bacterial SSU rRNA". It matches the Rfam family "Bacterial small subunit ribosomal RNA", at positions 340 to 772 of the family's 1533-position model. The record is from RNAcentral.
UACGGAAGGCAGCAGUGGGGAAUAUUGCACAAUGGGCGCAAGCCUGAUGCAGCCAUGCCGCGUGUAUGAAGAAGGCCUUCGGGUUGUAAAGUACUUUCAGCGGGGAGGAAGGCGAUGCGGUUAAUAACCGCGUCGAUUGACGUUACCCGCAGAAGAAGCACCGGCUAACUCCGUGCCAGCAGCCGCGGUAAUACGGAGGGUGCAAGCGUUAAUCGGAAUUACUGGGCGUAAAGCGCACGCAGGCGGUCUGUUAAGUCAGAUGUGAAAUCCCCGGGCUUAACCUGGGAACUGCAUUUUGAAACUGGCAGGCUUGAGUCUUGUAGAGGGGGUAGAAUUCCAGGUGUAGCGGUGAAAUGCGUAGAGAUCUGGAGGGAAUCCGGUGGCGAAGGCGGCCCCUGGGACAAGACUGACGCUCAGGUGCGAAAGCGUGGGGAGCGAA